Molecule: long non-coding RNA, 1359 nt
Filed under: Spirodela polyrhiza (greater duckweed)
Lineage: Eukaryota; Viridiplantae; Streptophyta; Magnoliopsida; Alismatales; Araceae
Description: long non-coding RNA (SPOL_LNC001496)
Source: RNAcentral
CUUGGGCAGGACGAGGUUCCUCCCUCUCAUCCCUGAACGCAUCUCUUCGGAGUUUCCUUAGCGAAGGAGCGGCUGGCUCAUCUCACAGGCAAAGCCAGUGCUGUCCUCGUGCAAUGUACGUGCUCGUAGGGGGAUCCCCUCUUCCUCCAUCAGUGGCGCUCAGAUGCCGAAUGCGAGAGUGCCGUCGCCUACGGGGGGGCGCAACGAGUGAACUCUACAGAUCUCCGUUGGAUUUCUUCGUGCGUCCCCGUGGUUGCGCUUCUCCGUUCUUCUCUCGUUCUUCUUCUUCUUCUUCUUCUUCUUCUUCUUCGCUCAUAUUCCGUCGGAAAAGUUCAAGAUCUCUCGAGCAUUGAAGGGACUAUGUCACCGCGUGAGAUGGUUAUUAGAUCGUUUUCCCCCCAUUAAUCUUUUGCGCUGAUCAGUUUUUCGUAAAAAUCCAAACGGAAAAGUCUCCAAGAUUUGGGGAUUAUAGUGUCUCAGUGUGUCUCCAUCUGGUUAGAUCUCCGAUGCUGGAGAGAGCUGCCACUGCUUAUAACUAAGGAACGGAUGAGAGGGCGCUUGGAAUUUGGUCGGUGUGUCUAUUCGAGUUUUAUGCAAGCACACUGUGUGUCUGUUGUCGGCGAAGAGCCCAAAAUUAACGUCGGAGAAGAGCGAUUUUAAUGGGAGGGAAGUAUGUAGAUCCAGAAUUAUUAUCUCCAGCUCCGUAGUGUAUUAUACAGCUCAUAACCAUAGCAAAAUCGGUCUAAGGGGACGGACCAAAAUCUUCGAGCAAACUACAUUGUAACAGGGUCAAGUUAUGAAGAUUAAUCCCCUUCUGAAAUCCCCUUCUGAUCUGCCUUUUAAAAGUUCUUACUCUUGUUGUCAAGUUCGAUCUUGAUUUCUCACGAAUAAGAUGAAAGCUGUGGGCAUCCAUCAGGGCGACUCUCUGUGACCGAACGCUAUUGAUCAGAGCUACUGUUUAUUUUCUGCAGGGAUGAUUGAAAGCCGGUACGACUGGGGUUGCUUGUUGAUUGUGCUCGUUGCGGACAAGUCAUGAAAGCCUUGGGGCAUAUAGAAGCUUGGAUGAAUGGUACUCCGGAUCUGUUGCUCUGUGAAAGGCUUCUUCUGACUGAAUCAAGCAAGAACCAAGCUAUCCACAGCCCGGAUGAUCCGAGGGUUCCUUUCCCACAUGCAAUUCAAUCAUUGUUCAUAAAAAAAUUUGCAUUGGGGGAUUGUAUGUUUUUGGACUCUUACCAUAAGCCAUCUCAAGCAGGUCCAUUUUAUAUGAAUAUUGAUUCGCGUAUGGCACUCUGGAAUCGGAAGCUCUAGGAUCAAACCAUCCUCACCGGAAUCAAGAAUUCCAAACAGGAUGGAGAUACU